Sinocyclocheilus grahami is the source of this 272-nucleotide long non-coding RNA. RefSeq lists it as uncharacterized. The record is from RefSeq and is a predicted model, not a curated record. Lineage: Eukaryota; Metazoa; Chordata; Actinopteri; Cypriniformes; Cyprinidae. The transcript has 3 exons.
GGUUGAUGACCAGCGGCAGGGCCAUGGUGUGUACACAUACCCCAAUGGAGACACAUAUGAUGGAGAACGGCUGCACCAUCAGAGACAUGGGCAGGGUACAUACAGACAUCACAACACAGGUUCUCAGUACAUGGGCACAUGGAUCAUGGGUAAAAUGGAGUCAGCUGGGGAACUGAUCCAUCAGAACCACAGAUAUAGGGGCAACUUCGUCAAUACUAAUCCGUCUGGUCCAGGGAAGUAUGUGUUUGACAUUUGGCAUGGAGAGUAUCUCC